This 286-nucleotide unclassified non-coding RNA is filed under the name Hevea brasiliensis (rubber tree). Lineage: Eukaryota; Viridiplantae; Streptophyta; Magnoliopsida; Malpighiales; Euphorbiaceae. The record is from RNAcentral.
ACCUGUGUAACCUCUUGCCUGGUGAGAUUUGAAGAAGUUGCAGAAAAACCACAGUACACGGGCCGUGUAAAUUGACUCGUGUAAGCAUCCAAGGCCCGUGUAACUUACUGCCCUCCAUCCAAAAAGAGGCCAUCAACUCCAAUAACUUACACGCCCCAAGCCGUGUAGUGACACAUGGGUCGUGUACUACAUUUCAGCAACUUUUUAAAUCUGACUCUAACUCCUAUUUUGACACACCAAUUGGAUUUCUAAUGCCCUUGGAACUCUAAAACUUAACCCUAGGACA